This 26-nucleotide non-coding RNA is filed under the name Mus musculus (house mouse). The record is from RNAcentral. Lineage: Eukaryota; Metazoa; Chordata; Mammalia; Rodentia; Muridae.
UGCUGUCUAGUUCAUCCCCACUGUCC